GAGGAAAGCAAGGUUGCUGAAAACUAUCCCCAUGACAACUUAGAAUGGCACACAACGGACUACCAACAGACUAGACCCUAAGGCAGAAGCUCCAGCCAAGAGAAUUCUGACUCACUCUUGCCCCACCAGAACCCGACAGGAUCAGGUACUGUCUCCUCUGUGUCUCAUGCUCACCCACCUCAUGGUGGCCCUUCCCACCAAUCUCUCUUGAAAUAUGCA
Long non-coding RNA from Mastomys coucha (southern multimammate mouse), 219 nucleotides. RefSeq lists it as uncharacterized. The record is from RefSeq and is a predicted model, not a curated record. The transcript has 3 exons. Lineage: Eukaryota; Metazoa; Chordata; Mammalia; Rodentia; Muridae.